Pieris napi is the source of this 1428-nucleotide long non-coding RNA. RefSeq lists it as uncharacterized. The transcript is spliced from 2 exons. Lineage: Eukaryota; Metazoa; Arthropoda; Insecta; Lepidoptera; Pieridae. The record is from RefSeq and is a predicted model, not a curated record.
UUAACCUUCGGUCUAGCAACAUUUGAUUUAAUCGAGUUGGCAACACUGACUGAAAAUUAUAAAAGGACAAAAUGGACGCCAAGUGAGCUAACGGCCAACGCCCAAGAACUCUUUCAAAUUUCAAUAUUGAAUAAUGAAUUGUUAAAUGGUGACAAUUAUCAUACAUGGAAGUUUCGAAUCCUUACAUUAUUAGAAGAAAAGGAUUGUUUAGAAUGUAUAGAUGUAACAUUUCAGAAGAAAAUAAGUGAGAGUCACAAUGCAAUGAAAGAUAAAAAAUGUAAGUCGUAUAUUAUUCAAUGCGUCCACGAUUCCCAAUUGGAUAUGAUAUAAUUAGAAAUAAAAACACUGCUUAUUGAAUGUGGGACACUAUAGAAGAGAGGCCAAGUCAAUUACUACCAAGAAAAAUACUUAUGACUAUGAAACUACAUGGUGAAAAUAACCUUGAAACUUUUUCACUAGAAUUUGAAGAAAAUAUAAGAAAAGUAAAUGCAUGUGGUGUGGAGUUGACAACCCAAGAAAGUAUUUGCUGUUUAUUAUUGGCAAUGCCAAAAAGUUUGGAAACAGUUACCACAAUAUUAGAAAGUAUGCCUUCAAAGGAACUAACUAUAGAUAUAGUGAAAACAAGAUUGAGAUCAGAAGUAGAAAGAAGGGCUGUACUGAAAGAAACAGAUCUUAGAAGUACAAGUAAUAAUAUUCCAUCUGCAUUGGCAAAUAAUAAUACUCCAAAGUUAUUUUACAAUUGUGGGAAACCAGGACAUUUAUAUAAGAAUUGUCGACAUCUACAAGGAAAUGGUAAUAAGUUCAUAGCUGUAGCAAAGAAUAAUAACUAUAUGAAAGCAAUUGGAGUAGGAAAUAUAAAUGUUGAAGUAAAGUUUAUGGUCAGUCUGUAAAUGGUGUUCUAAAAAAUGUAUUUUUAGUUCCAAACAUAAUGCAAAAUUUACUAUCUGUGAAGAAAAUAGAAACACGAGGAAACAAGAUUGAUUUUAAUAAUGGAAUGUGAUAAGCAAAACGUCGUGAAGCGCAUCACAUCUGGCCCAAAUAUUACAACUACUUCCUAGCGAUCACGACCGCUCUGUCAAGAGUGCACCGAAUAGGAAGAAGAUAACCAAGAGGGCUAUCGUGCAAACGCCAUUCACAACUAAGUGCUAAGGAUGAAGAAACCAGGGCAUUAAGACUCCAAGUUAAAGAUACAACUGUUGUUGCUUGACCGUUAUUAUAACAGAACUAUUAUUAUAGCAGAACUAAAUUAUUAUCGUCAAUAACAUCCAAAACAUGACGAUCACGUAUUGAGUCUGAGCCACAACCCCAAGAGGUGUGAUGAGCAUUAAAGUCUCCAUCAGUCAUUGUCAAACUCGAACAUUUUAGAUGUUUAUUUUUAUGUGAACAUAUUAUUCGUUCAGGUGCUUUCUUUGGCAUAUACCUGUAAAA